GAGGAAGGUGGGUAUCGUUAAUAGCAUACUCAUUUGACGUUUAGCUGCAGAAGAAGCACCGGCUAACUCCGUGCCAGCAGCCGCGGUAAUACGGAGGGUGCGAGCGUUUAAUCGGAAUUACUGGGCGUAAAGCGCAUGCAGGUGGUUUGUUAAGUCAGAUGUGAAAGCCCGGGGCUCAACCUCGGAAUUGCAUUUGAAACUGGCAAACUAGAGUACUGUAGAAGGGGGUAGAAUUUCAGGUGUAGCGGUGAAAUGCGUAGAGAUCUGAAGGAAUACCGGUGGCGAAGGCGGCCCCCUGGACAGAUACUGACACUCAGAUGCGAAAGCGUGGGGAGCAAACAGGAUUAGAUACCCUGGUAG
RNAcentral lists this ribosomal RNA (360 nucleotides) under uncultured bacterium. Its description in RNAcentral is "bacterial SSU rRNA". It matches the Rfam family "Bacterial small subunit ribosomal RNA", at positions 444 to 793 of the family's 1533-position model. The record is from RNAcentral.